UAGAGGAAGUAAAAGUCGUAACAAGGUUUCCGUAGGUGAACCUGCGGAAGGAUCAUUAUUGAAUGAACUUGGCUCGGUUGCAGCUGGUCCUUUCGAGGGCAUGUGCUCGCCGUGUCAUCUUUAUCUCUCCACCUGUGCACGUUUUGUAGACCUGGAUUAGUUAACUUUCCGAGGCAACUCGGUCGGGAGGAUUGCUCAAAGGCUUUCCUUGCAAUUGAACCAGGCCUAUGUUUUCAUAUACCCCAAAGAAUGUAACAGAAUGUAUCAUAUGGCCUUGUGCCUAUAAACUAUAUACAACUUUCAGCAACGGAUCUCUUGGCUCUCGCAUCGAUGAAGAACGCAGCGAAAUGCGAUAAGUAAUGUGAAUUGCAGAAUUCAGUGAAUCAUCGAAUCUUUGAACGCACCUUGCGCUCCUUGGUAUUCCGAGGAGCAUGCCUGUUUGAGUGUCAUUAAAUUCUCAACCUUACCAGUGUUUGCUGGUAAUGGCUUGGAUGUGGGGGGUCUUUUGCUGGCUUCGUCAAGAGGUCGGCUCCCCUUAAAUGCAUUAGCUGGUGCCCCGCGCGGAACCGUCUAUUGGUGUGAUAAUUAUCUACGCCGUGGACGUCUGCAUCAAUGGGAUUGCGCUGCUUCUAACCGUCCGCUCUGGACAACACAAAUGACAAUUUGACCUCAAAUCAGGUAGGACUACCCGCUGAACUUAAGCAUAUCAAUA
Molecule: small RNA, 712 nt
Filed under: Psilocybe silvatica
Lineage: Eukaryota; Fungi; Basidiomycota; Agaricomycetes; Agaricales; Agrocybaceae
Description: eukaryotic LSU rRNA
Rfam family: 5.8S ribosomal RNA (bases 296-449)
Source: RNAcentral